Molecule: microRNA precursor, 100 nt
Filed under: Colobus angolensis palliatus
Lineage: Eukaryota; Metazoa; Chordata; Mammalia; Primates; Cercopithecidae
Description: miRNA (ENSCANG00000003171.1)
Source: RNAcentral
UGAGGCAGGAGAAUUGCUUGAACCCAGGAGGUGGAGGAUGCAGUGAGCAGAGAUCGAGCCACUGAACUCCAGCCUGGGUGACAGAGGGAGACCCUGUCUC